RNAcentral lists this ribosomal RNA (406 nucleotides) under uncultured bacterium. RNAcentral describes it as "partial 16S ribosomal RNA". It matches the Rfam family "Bacterial small subunit ribosomal RNA", at positions 30 to 526 of the family's 1533-position model. The record is from RNAcentral.
AUUGAACGCUGGCGGCAGGCCUAACACAUGCAAGUCGAACGAGUGGCGGACGGGUGAGUAAUGUCUGGGAAACUGCCUGAUGGAGGGGGAUAACUACUGGACACGGUAGCUAAUACCGCAUACCAUCAGAUGUGCCCAGGUGGGUUUAGCUUGUUGGUGGGGUAACGGCUAACCAAGGCGACGCUCCCUAGCUGGUCUGAGAGGAUGACCAGCCACACUGUGACGGAGACACGGCCCAGACUCCUACGGGAGGCAGCAGGGGGGAAUAUCGCACAAUGGGCGCAAGCCUGAUGCAGCCAUGCCGCGUGUAUGAAGAAGGCCUUAGGGUUGUAAAGUACUUUCAGCCGGGAGGCGUUACCCGCAGAAGAAGCACCGGCUAACUCCGUGCCAGCCGCCGCGGUAAUUC